AGACUCUUUCCGCAUCAAUCGCUCGCUCGCAUCGCUCGCACGACUCGGAUCUGAAAAUCGUAUGUCCCGCAAGCACUUCUCGCACGACUCGCUCGUCCGCAUCACCCGCAGUUCUCGCAUCGACUUCUCGCAUCGAUCGCACUGCCCGUGCGAGAGGGAACUCAAGGUAUCGAUGUAGAAGAAGUACAAGUAGGUAUCUAAAUUUGUGUGAAAAUUUGUUUUCAUGCAAUGCCUCACCUUUUGACGGCAAACUACAAACGUAUAUCGUA
Amphibalanus amphitrite is the source of this 269-nucleotide long non-coding RNA. RefSeq lists it as uncharacterized. NCBI's taxonomy places the organism in Eukaryota, Metazoa, Arthropoda, Thecostraca, Balanomorpha, Balanidae. The transcript is spliced from 2 exons. The record is from RefSeq and is a predicted model, not a curated record.